Molecule: ribosomal RNA, 709 nt
Filed under: uncultured organism
Description: bacterial SSU rRNA
Rfam family: Bacterial small subunit ribosomal RNA
Source: RNAcentral
CAGAGCAAGGUGGUAUUCCCGAUGUAAUGUUGUAAUGCGUAGAUAUCGGGAGGAACACCUGUGAUGAAGUUGGCUUUCUAGGCUGUUCUGCAUGAGGAAGACGUAAACUAGGGGAACGAACGGUAUCAGAUACCCCGGUAGUCCUAAUUGUAAAAGAUGGAUGCUGGAUUUGAGGGGUGUACAUUCCCUCUGUGCAGUAGCGAACGCGAUAAGCAUCCCGCUUGGGGAAUACGACCGCAAGGUUUCACCUCAUGACGAAUAGACGGGGGCCCGCAACAAGCAUCGGAGCGAUGUGGUCUAAUUCGAUGCUACUCGAAGAACCUUACCUGGGUUUGACAUGCACAGUGGUAGGGAACCGAAUGGGGACGGACCUUUGGGACGCUGUGACACAGAUGAUGCAUGUCUGUCGUCAGCUCAGUGCCGUGAGGAUGUCAGGAGGUUAAGUCCUGCUAAUCGAGCGCAACCCUUGCCUUUAGUUAUAAGUGCUCUAAGGGGAAUGCCCGGGACAACCGGGAGGAAGGUGUGGAGUGACGUCUAGUAAGCAUGGCCUUUAGUAUCCAGGGUUAUCACACACGCUACAAUGUGCCGGUACAAUAGAUUGCGAACUUGUGAGACGGAGCCAAUCCUCAAAGCCGGUCUCAGGUCGAAUGGCAGUCUGCAACUGGACUGCAUCAAGCUGGAUAUUGACUAGUAAUCGCAGAUCAGCUAU